UUGCUCAGGAGCCUGGAGCAGCGUUUGCUUCCCGGGGGAGGGUUGCACCAGGCCGGUCCCAGGCUGCGCUGGGGCAUUUCUCACCGGGGUCUGGGCUGCGAGGUGCUGGGAGCAGAGCUCUGGGUUUGCGCUUGUCCCCUGUAGCGCCUGACACACUUCGGGUCAGUGUAAGAACCUCACAAUAACCCGCCCUGCUCCCGGGGCGCCCUGAGACCCUCAGACCGGAGUCUCCGCCCCUCUCCAGGCAGGGUGUGGUGUGGGAAGGGGGGUGACUUCGUUUCCCUUCUAAACCAGGCAGCCGCGUGUCGGAGGCUGCAACAGGCAGAAGCGGCCGCGGCUUGUGUUUGUGCAGUUAAGGGCUAAACCCUCCUUAUCCUGACAGCGAGAAUUUACCCUGCAGCUCAGCGAGCAAUGCCAGUGUGGGUACAGUUUGUGUUCGUUUUAGCAGCUUGGACAGGUGCGCAGUCCCAGAUGCAGCUGGUGGAGUCCGGGGGGGCUGUUAGAAAUGAAGGGGAGUCCAUCCGCCUCUCCUGUAAAGGCUCCGGCUUCACCUUCAGCAGCUCCGACAUGUUCUGGUACCGGCAGAGUCCCGGGAAGAGCCCGGAGUUUGUCUCACGUAUUUACUACGAUGGGUCUAGUCCUUAUUACGCGGCUGGGGUUCAAGGACGAUCCACCAUCUCCAGAGACAACGCCAAGAGCGAGCUGUACCUGGAAAUGAGCCGCCUGAGAGGGGAGGACACCGCCCGGUAUCACUGCGCUGCUAGAGAGGCACAGUGCGGGGAAGCCGGUGUGAGCCGAGAGGAAAACCUCCGGCCCCAGGCCCAGGGGGAAAGACAUCUGCUGGGGGGCGGAGAGACCUGGUGCGCUCCCUGCAGGGAGGGAAGGGAAAGCGAGGCACAGCAGAUCUGGAGCGAACCACCCUAUGAGCACAGACUCUGAUAAGGUACAAAGGCAUCCAGCCAGGUUUAUUGUCAAACAAAACACAGUCUCUAGCUUCCUGGAUCAGCUGCCUACAGUUCUGCUAGUACAGAUGUGCUCCCUGACACUGGCCUGGCUCAGUCAGCGGUUGGGUUUGCCACUGCCCCCAGGCCAGACAAAGGCGCCAUCCCAGGGAUGCGUUCUUACACAGGUACAAUCCGGUUACGCAGCAUUGACUCAGGGCCGCCCAGAGGAUUCAGGGGGCCUGGGGCAAAGCAACCUCAGGGACCCCUUCCAUUAGAAAAGGUUGCAAUACUAUAGAACACUGUAUUCUUGUGGGGGGCCCUGUGGGCCGGGGGCCUGUGGCAAAUUUUCCCACUUGCCUGCCCUGGGCAGCCCUGCAUUGAAUGCAUUGAGGUGCAGCCCCUCUACGUAUUAGGGUGCUGCCUUUCUCCUGGUACAGGUUGGUUCGAACAAAGAGGUCAAUGCAUCAGAUUGUCCUUUUGACCCUCCCUGUCUGUAGGCUGGAUCUGCUUGUUCCUUGUUCUCUCUGUGGGGCAGUGUUCAUACCAGGCUGUUCUAGCACAGGUUCUCUGAGCAGCCUCCCUCUUGCCAACUUCUGCGAGCAGGGCCUGCCUCUGGCUCACAGCCUCCUUCGCUUUAUGUAACUUCAGUUCAGGGCUCAGGCCUCAGACCAGGCCUCUGAUACCAAAGGUUUAUGUCUCAGGGCCUCAUCUUACUACACCGCUUACAUCAGACUAACAGAGCUGGCCCAGAGCGGAUGCGCCGCACCCGGACCAGGCUUGGCUCUGCCCGCCCUGCUGCAGACCUGUGAGGCACAGCGAGAGGAGGACAGACAGACAGACACACACAGCAUCCUCCCGUCUCCCUUCCCAGCGCAUUGCUCCGGGUGUGCAAAGGGGAAGAUCUACGGCGCCUCAUCCCGGCUCCGUCCCCCGGGCGCCCGGGCGCUCCGACAGCCCCGCGGCUGCAAAGCUCUCAGCCGAGCCCGGGGUUUACGCAGCUCUGCGGGGACAGAGGAGGAGCCGGAGGAGCGAUUAUUCUUCACGUCUGAACAACGAUUCAAUGGUUCCAAAGUAAUCACCGAAGCAGAUACCCAAUAACCAAAGACGGGGAAACCACGCGGUGAGAGCCGAGUUCCGAACAGCUGGAUGAAGACGUACAGUGUCUGGCUACUUACCUACACUGCUUCUCUGGCAGGUUCUGCAGCAGAAGACAAGGGAGACCGCUAGGGGCUCCCAGACUAUUUAUGUAGGGUUAAUACCCGGUCCCGACACGUCACAGAGCGCGAACUUUUCUACGAGUGCGUCG
This is a non-coding RNA of Mauremys reevesii (Reeves's turtle), 2250 nucleotides long. NCBI's taxonomy places the organism in Eukaryota, Metazoa, Chordata, Testudines, Geoemydidae. The record is from the annotation of a RefSeq genome assembly.